UUGAAAAUGUCAGGCUGUGGUCUGCAGGAGGUUAGACGGGAGAACAGCACAGCUCUAGUAGACAUGUACAACAGCAGUCACAGUGUGGAACAGUUCCUCCACAGCCCUGAUGUCAUGAUUCCACUGUAUGCCACCAAUAUUGAAGACCCUCAGGAAGAACUAUGCUUCUCCUUUGACAUUGAUGGCGUUGUCCUGGAAAUUUCUGCACUGGCUGCAAUAAAAAGUAGUGUCCACUACUUGAAGAUGCCACAUUUUGAAAGCAGGCACCUGAUCCACAAAUUCCACCACCUGAAGAAACACCUACCGCUUCAAGGCCUCAGUGGGAAUGCAAUGAAGUGUCUGCGCGCUAUGCUUGGAGUCACCCUUGGCCACGUGGAUGGGGGCUACUUCUUGGACCUGGCAGCAGUACCUAGGGACCUGAAACAACCCGACAUGCGCCUAGCUGACGAAAAAUGGCUUCGAGAGGUUGUAUUGGAAAUCCUCAAUGCCAUCCGAGCCGAUUUUGUGGCCAAGCUGAGAGCAUUGCCAGUGAGAGAGAAGAGCCGUCCCACCAUCCAGAAGAACUCACUGUGUCAGCUGGACAAAAUGAACAUUCUGGCGCAAGACCAGGAGUUCAUUCUGCAAAUCCUGGAUACCUGCAUUCAGAGGACAGUGGAUAGCCACCACUUUCGUAUUAUCGUGACUCUGCAGAAAUACGGCAUGAAGGACCGGAGGACCAUCAACGUGGAGGAAAUUGUUGACACCGCUCACAUAACCUCCAUGUCUGUUCACGCAGCAUGCAACAUCAAGGCCAAGGACCAGAACGUUGCCAUGUUGUGGUCAAGAUCUGGCCUGCAAGACUUGGUGGGCGUGCGAGGGAGCCUCUUCACAGCCAUGGGGAUGCAUGAGGCUGUGAAUUUUCAAACAUGCACUGACCAUCGCAUGAUGGACAUCAGCAGGGAACUGCGUCAAUUGUGUGUCCCAGCUUCCAUCAUCUUUCUCCAACUGUAUGUGGACUCACCCCACCUUCACAUCAGAAACCCAUUCAAACAUCCAGUGAGUGGAGUAAUUGCCACCUGUGGACUCUCUCAUCCGCAGUUCUGGAAGGCCAUGACGUCAAGGGCCAUGGGAUACCUAGACCACAUGGAGGAUCUGGCAGAAAAGAUGCUGUGCCCAUUUGUCCUGAG
This 1166-nucleotide long non-coding RNA is filed under the name Cottoperca gobio. RNAcentral's name for it is "lncRNA (ENSCGOG00000020439.1)". The record is from RNAcentral. Lineage: Eukaryota; Metazoa; Chordata; Actinopteri; Perciformes; Bovichtidae.